AACGAACGCUGGCGGCAUGCCUAACACAUGCAAGUCGAACGAGACCUUCGGGUCUAGUGGCGCACGGGUGCGUAACGCGUGGGAACCUGCCCUUAGGCUCGGAAUAACUCCCCGAAAGGGGUGCUAAUACCGGAUAAUGUCUUCGGACCAAAGAUUUAUCGCCUUUGGAUGGGCCCGCGUUGGAUUAGCUAGUUGGUAGGGUAAAAGCCUACCAAGGCGACGAUCCAUAGCUGGUCUGAGAGGAUGAUCAGCCACACUGGGACUGAGACACGGCCCAGACUCCUACGGGAGGCUGCAGUGGGGAAUAUUGGACAAUGGGCGAAAGCCUGAUCCAGCAAUGCCGCGUGAGUGAUGAAGGCCUUAGGGUUGUAAAGCUCUUUUACCCGGGAUGAUAAUGACAGUACCGGGAGAAUAAGCUCCGGCUAACUCCGUG
This 433-nucleotide ribosomal RNA is filed under the name uncultured bacterium. Its description in RNAcentral is "partial 16S ribosomal RNA". It matches the Rfam family "Bacterial small subunit ribosomal RNA", at positions 29 to 507 of the family's 1533-position model. The record is from RNAcentral.